Molecule: ribosomal RNA, 1203 nt
Filed under: uncultured prokaryote
Description: partial 16S ribosomal RNA
Rfam family: Bacterial small subunit ribosomal RNA
Source: RNAcentral
GCCUUCGGCGUGCUUAACACAUGCAAGUCGCACGAGAACGCUUCAGCUUGCUGAAGUUAGUAAAGUGGCGCACGGGUGAGUAACGCGUGGGUAAUCUACCUCCAAAUUGGGGAUAACAUUGCGAAAGUGGUGCUAAUACCGGAUAAUAUCUAGAUGUCUUCGGGUGUUUAGAUCAAAGAUGGCCUCUUCUUGAAAGCUAUCGUUUGAGGAUGAGCCCACGCACCAUUAGCUAGUUGGUAGGGUAAAGGCCUACCAAGGCUACGAUGGUUAGCUGGUCUGAGAGGAUGAUCAGCCACACUGGAACUGACACACGGUCCAGACUCCUACGGGAGGCAGCAGUGAGGAAUUUUGCGCAAUGGGGGAAACCCUGACGCAGCAACGCCGCGUGAGUGAUGAAGGCUUUUGGGUCGUAAAGCUCUGUCAGUAGGGAAGAAGUCGUUUAUAGUUAAUACCUAUAGGCGUUGACGGUACCUACAAAGGAAGCACCGGCUAACUCCGUGCCAGCAGCCGCGGUAAUACGGGGGGUGCAAGCGUUAUUCGGAAUUAUUGGGCGUAAAGCGAGUGCAUGCGGUAUGAUAAGUCAGAUGUAAAAGCCCGGGGCUCAACCCCGGAAGUGCAUUUGAAACUGUCAGACUUGAGUAUGGGAGAGGAAAGUGGAAUUCCUGGUGUAGAGGUGAAAUUCGUAGAUAUCAGGAGGAACACCAGUGGCGAAGGCGACUUUCUGGACCAAUACUGACGCUCAGACUCGAAGGCGUGGGGAGCAAACAGGAUUAGAUACCCUGGUAGUCCACGCAGUAAACGUUGACAACUAGGUGUCGCGGGUAUUGACCCCUGCGGUGCCGGAGCUAACGCAUUAAGUUGUCCGCCUGGGGAGUACGAUCGCAAGAUUAAAACUCAAAGGAAUUGACGGGGGCCCGCACAAGCGGUGGAGCAUGUGGUUAAUUCGACGCAACGCGAAGAACCUUACCUGGAUUUGACAUCCUGGGAAUCAUUUGAAAAAUGAGAUGCCCUUUCGGGGAACUCGGAGACAGUGCUGCAUGCUGUCGUCAGCUCGUGUCGUGAGAUGUUGGUUAGUCCGCACGAGCGCACCCUAUCUUUAGUACAUCAUUCAGUGGGACUCUAAGAUACCUGCCGGUAACGGGAGAGGUGGGAAUAGCUCAGUCUCAUUGACUAUGUUCAAGGCUUACACACUUGCUUACAAAU